RNAcentral lists this ribosomal RNA (885 nucleotides) under Bacillus licheniformis. RNAcentral describes it as "bacterial SSU rRNA". It matches the Rfam family "Bacterial small subunit ribosomal RNA", at positions 1 to 865 of the family's 1533-position model. The record is from RNAcentral. Lineage: Bacteria; Bacillati; Bacillota; Bacilli; Caryophanales; Bacillaceae.
GACCCUUAGAGUUUGAUCCUGGCUCAGGACGAACGCUGGCGGCGUGCCUAAUACAUGCAAGUCGAGCGGACCGACGGGAGCUUGCUCCCUUAGGUCAGCGGCGGACGGGUGAGUAACACGUGGGUAACCUGCCUGUAAGACUGGGAUAACUCCGGGAAACCGGGGCUAAUACCGGAUGCUUGAUUGAACCGCAUGGUUCAAUCAUAAAAGGUGGCUUUUAGCUACCACUUACAGAUGGACCCGCGGCGCAUUAGCUAGUUGGUGAGGUAACGGCUCACCAAGGCGACGAUGCGUAGCCGACCUGAGAGGGUGAUCGGCCACACUGGGACUGAGACACGGCCCAGACUCCUACGGGAGGCAGCAGUAGGGAAUCUUCCGCAAUGGACGAAAGUCUGACGGAGCAACGCCGCGUGAGUGAUGAAGGUUUUCGGAUCGUAAAACUCUGUUGUUAGGGAAGAACAAGUACCGUUCGAAUAGGGCGGUACCUUGACGGUACCUAACCAGAAAGCCACGGCUAACUACGUGCCAGCAGCCGCGGUAAUACGUAGGUGGCAAGCGUUGUCCGGAAUUAUUGGGCGUAAAGCGCGCGCAGGCGGUUUCUUAAGUCUGAUGUGAAAGCCCCCGGCUCAACCGGGGAGGGUCAUUGGAAACUGGGGAACUUGAGUGCAGAAGAGGAGAGUGGAAUUCCACGUGUAGCGGUGAAAUGCGUAGAGAUGUGGAGGAACACCAGUGGCGAAGGCGACUCUCUGGUCUGUAACUGACGCUGAGGCGCGAAAGCGUGGGGAGCGAACAGGAUUAGAUACCCUGGUAGUCCACGCCGUAAACGAUGAGUGCUAAGUGUUAGAGGGUUUCCGCCCUUUAGUGCUGCAGCAAACGCCAUUAAGG